Molecule: long non-coding RNA, 436 nt
Organism: Mus musculus (house mouse)
Lineage: Eukaryota; Metazoa; Chordata; Mammalia; Rodentia; Muridae
Product: predicted gene, 39956
Exons: 3
Source: RefSeq, a predicted model, not a curated record
CUCUGCUUUGAUACAAACCUCACACAGCCAGCCAGUGCCUUGUCAACUGUUCAGGGAAUUAAAAUGCCUCUAAGACACAGCUUCAUCAAAGAACACAUGAAAUUUGAAAGGCAUGAGGUGAGGGGGGCAUUCUUAAGGACAAAUUUUUGAAGACACCACCUUCCCCUAAGGAAGCCUCUCCAUUCUCCUUAAGUAAUGAGAUGGGGAAAAUACAGCUUGGAGGUUCGGUUGACCUGAAUUGGAAUCCUACUCAUUUGUCAACUUGCUGUGAGCUUCUGAAUGUCAUGAGAGGAGCAACUUUAUUCACCACAUGCUCCUGCUACGGUUUUCCACGCUCCACAGACCCAAAUUAAGUGACCUCUGAAAUCAUGAGCCAUAAGCCUUUGCCCUGAUUAAAUACCUUCAGUGUUUUAUCACAGUGUCAGAAAGCUGGUAA